UACGUAGGGGGCAAGCGUUGUCCGGAAUCAUUGGGCGUAAAGCGCGUGUAGGCGGCCAGAUAAGUCCGCUGUGAAAACUCGAGGCUCAACUUCGAGCUGUCGGUGGAAACUAUCUGGCUAGAGUCCGGAAGAGGAGAGUGGAAUUCCUGGUGUAGCGGUGAAAUGCGCAGAUAUCAGGAAGAACACCCGUGGCGAAAGCGGCUCUCUGGGACGGUACUGACGCUGAGACGCGAAAGCGUGGGGAGCAAACAGG
RNAcentral lists this ribosomal RNA (253 nucleotides) under uncultured bacterium. RNAcentral's name for it is "partial 16S ribosomal RNA". It matches the Rfam family "Bacterial small subunit ribosomal RNA", at positions 524 to 776 of the family's 1533-position model. The record is from RNAcentral.